UACGGGGGGGGCAAGCGCUGUUCGGAAUUACUGGGCGUAAAGGGUUCGUAGGUGGCCAACUAAGUCAGACGUGAAAUCCCUCAGCUUAACUGGGGAACUGCGUCUGAGACUGGAUGGCUUGAGUGCAGGAGAGGAACGCGGAAUUCCAGGUGUAGCGGUGAAAUGCGUAGAUAUCUGGAGGAACACCGGUGGCGAAGGCGGCGUUCUGGACUGCAACUGACACUGAUGAACGAAAGCCAGGGGAGCAAACGGG
Molecule: ribosomal RNA, 253 nt
Filed under: uncultured bacterium
Lineage: Bacteria
Description: partial 16S ribosomal RNA
Rfam family: Bacterial small subunit ribosomal RNA
Source: RNAcentral